Clupea harengus (Atlantic herring) is the source of this 488-nucleotide non-coding RNA. The record is from the annotation of a RefSeq genome assembly. NCBI's taxonomy places the organism in Eukaryota, Metazoa, Chordata, Actinopteri, Clupeiformes, Clupeidae.
AGUCAUGCUUCACUUCACUCCUUUAUAACUGCCCUUGCUCUAUUCUCAUUCCCCAUUCCCUUUGAUUGUCUUGCAGGAACAGCUACAGUAUACAUUUAGAUAGAAGAAUGAACAGAAAAACAUUUUACCAUUUCAUUUUCAUACUUCUAUUUGGACAAGGUGUUAUCUGUGAUGAGAUCAGACUAGAUCAGUCUCCUGCUCAGGUGAAGACACCAGGAGGGACAGUUAAGAUCUCCUGUAAAAUAUCUGGAUUUGACAUGACAGAUUACUACAUGCACUGGAUCAGACAGAAACCAGGAGAGGCUUUGGAGUGGAUCGGAAGAAUGAACUCUGGAUCAGUUAAUUAUGCAGAGUCUCUGAAGGGCCAGUUCACCCUGACUGAAGACGUCCCCACCAGCAUGCAGUACUUAGAGGCCAAGAGUCUGAAAGCAGAGGACACUGCUGUUUACUACUGUGCACGACAGGCACAGUGACUGAAGCUGGUGAAG